This 190-nucleotide ribosomal RNA is filed under the name Bacillus thuringiensis. Its description in RNAcentral is "partial 23S ribosomal RNA". It matches the Rfam family "Bacterial large subunit ribosomal RNA", at positions 2740 to 2925 of the family's 2925-position model. The record is from RNAcentral. Lineage: Bacteria; Bacillati; Bacillota; Bacilli; Caryophanales; Bacillaceae.
GCUGGGUAGCUAUGUGCGGAAGGGAUAAGUGCUGAAAGCAUCUAAGCAUGAAGCCCCCCUCAAGAUGAGAUUUCCCAUAGCGUAAGCUAGUGAGAUCCCUGAAAGAUGAUCAGGUUGAUAGGUUCGAGGUGGAAGCAUGGUGACAUGUGGAGCUGACGAAUACUAAUAGAUCGAGGACUUAACCAUAUAA